RNAcentral lists this ribosomal RNA (253 nucleotides) under uncultured bacterium. RNAcentral describes it as "partial 16S ribosomal RNA". It matches the Rfam family "Bacterial small subunit ribosomal RNA", at positions 524 to 776 of the family's 1533-position model. The record is from RNAcentral.
UACGGAGGGUGCAAGCGUUAUCCGGAUUUACUGGGUUUAAAGGGUGCGUAGGCGGCAAUUUAAGUCAGUGGUGAAAUCCUGCAGCUCAACUGUAGAACCGCCAUUGAAACUGAAUUACUUGAGUGAUCUUGAGGUAGGCGGAAUGUGUAGUGUAGCGGUGAAAUGCUUAGAUAUUACACAGAACACCGAUUGCGAAGGCAGCUUACUAAAGGUUUACUGACGCUGAUGCACGAAAGCGUGGGGAUCAAACAGG